UACGGAGGGAGCUAGCGUUGUUCGGAAUUACUGGGCGUAAAGCGCACGUAGGCGGCCAUUCAAGUCAGAGGUGAAAGCCCGGGGCUCAACUCCGGAACUGCCCUUGAAACUGGGAAGCUAGAAUCUUGGAGAGGCGAGUGGAAUUCCGAGUGUAGAGGUGAAAUUCGUAGAUAUUCGGAAGAACACCAGUGGCGAAGGCGACUCGCUGGACAAGUAUUGACGCUGAGGUGCGAAAGCGUGGGGAGCAAACAGG
Molecule: ribosomal RNA, 253 nt
Filed under: uncultured bacterium
Lineage: Bacteria
Description: partial 16S ribosomal RNA
Rfam family: Bacterial small subunit ribosomal RNA
Source: RNAcentral